Molecule: ribosomal RNA, 253 nt
Filed under: uncultured bacterium
Lineage: Bacteria
Description: partial 16S ribosomal RNA
Rfam family: Bacterial small subunit ribosomal RNA
Source: RNAcentral
UACGUAGGGAGCAAGCGUUGUUCGGAUUUACUGGGCGUAAAGCGCGCGUAGGCGGCUUUGCAAGUCGGGUGUGAAAUCCCCAGGCUUAACCUGGGAACUGCAUUCGAGACUGCAUUGCUAGAGUAUGGGAGAGGGAAGUGGAAUUUCCGGUGUAGCGGUGAAAUGCGUAGAUAUCGGAAGGAACAUCAGUGGCGAAAGCGACUUCCUGGACCAAUACUGACGCUCAUGUGCGAAAGCGUGGGGAGCAAACAGG